RNAcentral lists this ribosomal RNA (521 nucleotides) under Tuber brumale (winter truffle). RNAcentral describes it as "eukaryotic LSU rRNA". It matches the Rfam family "Eukaryotic large subunit ribosomal RNA", at positions 93 to 630 of the family's 3401-position model. Lineage: Eukaryota; Fungi; Ascomycota; Pezizomycetes; Pezizales; Tuberaceae. The record is from RNAcentral.
GUGAAGCGGCAAAAGCUCAAAUUUGAAAUCUGGCGCUAUUCGUGUCUGAGUUGUAAUUUGGAGAGGCAACUUCAGGUGGGACCCAGUCUAUAUUCCUUGGAACAGGAUGUCAUAGAGGGUGAGAAUCCCGUUCAUGGCUGGAUGUUCACGCUAGUAUGUAGUGCCUUCUACGAGUCGAGUUGUUUGAGAAUGCAGCUCAAAAUGGGUGGUAAAUUUCAUCUAAAGCUAAAUAUGGGCGAGAGACCGAUAGCGCACAAGUAGAGUGAUCGAAAGAUGAAAAGCACUUUGAAAAUAGAGUCAAAAAGUACGUGAAAUUGUUGAAAGGGAAGCGCUUGAGACCAGACAUAGCCUAUGGCAAACAACUGUCCUUCUGGGUAGUGCACUUGUCAAAGGUUAGGCCAGCAUCAGUUAGGAUGGUGGGAGAAAGACUAGGAGAAUGUGACUCCAAUUUGGAGUGUUAUAGAUCCUGGUGUCAUGCCAUCUGUCCUGACUGUGGACCGCGCUUCGGCUAGGAUGCUGGC